CUUGGCUACUUGGUGGAGGCCACAGGGUCUAGCCUCUUAAGACAAGUAGGCUACCGGACGUCACCAUGGCCCUCCACUGUGGCGGUCACCGUGGGCUGCUGGGGGCCAAGAGAGAAGGAGCCCCGGUCUCGUCAGUCAUCAGACUCCUCCGCUGCGGGGAGGUCUGAUGUCUUGAACAGCUGUUGCCUGCCAAAAUGGACAAAGAACCAAGAGCAGCUGCAGGCCACGCACCACCACUGGGAUUGCUGUGACCUUCCUGCCUUGCCCCUGGGUCUUAAAUCACCAAACUCUAUGGCUCACACUGGGCUGACACUGCUGACCUUACAGCCUUGCAAAUGAUGUCAUCACCAUACGUUCUUCACUCAUGACGUGGCAUGGAUUUGACCAAAGGCGUGAUCAUGUUUAAAAUAAAAACCCUUUAUGAGAGUUCCCUUG
Molecule: long non-coding RNA, 435 nt
Filed under: Homo sapiens (human)
Lineage: Eukaryota; Metazoa; Chordata; Mammalia; Primates; Hominidae
Description: HSALNT0366616
Source: RNAcentral